This 459-nucleotide ribosomal RNA is filed under the name uncultured bacterium. Its description in RNAcentral is "bacterial SSU rRNA". It matches the Rfam family "Bacterial small subunit ribosomal RNA", at positions 346 to 793 of the family's 1533-position model. The record is from RNAcentral.
AGGCAGCAGUGGGGGAAUAUUGGACAAUGGGGGCAACCCUGAUCCAGCCAUGCCGCGUGUGUGAAGAAGGCCUUUGGUUGUUAAAGCACUUUAAGCAGGGAGGAGAGGCUAAUGGGUUAAUACCCAUUAGAUUAGACGUUACCUGCAGAAUAAGCACCGGCUAACUCUGUGCCAGCAGCCGCGGUAAUACAGAGGGUGCGAGCGUUAAUCGGAAUUACUGGGCGUAAAAGCGAGUGUAGGUGGCUCAUUAAGUCACAUGUGAAAUCCCCGGGCUUAACCUGGGAACUGCAUGUGAUACUGGUGGUGCUAGAAUAUGUGAGAGGGAAGUAGAAUUCCAGGUGUAGCGGUGAAAUGCGUAGAGAUCUGGAGGAAUACCGAUGGCGAAGGCAGCUUCCUGGCAUAAUAUUGACACUGAGAUUCGAAAGCGUGGGUAGCAAACAGGAUUAGAUACCCUGGUAG